UGGGGAAUAUUGGACAAUGGAGGAAACUCUGAUCCAGCAAUUCUGUGUGUGUGAAGAAGGUUUUAGGACUGUAAAACACUUUUAGUAGGGAAGAAAAAAAUGACGGUACCUACAGAAGAAGCAACGGCUAAAUACGUGCCAGCAGCCGCGGUAAUACGUAUGUUGCGAGCGUUAUCCGGAAUUAUUGGGCUUAAAGGGCAUCUAGGCGGUAAGACAAGUUGAAGGUGAAAACCUGUGGCUCAACCAUAGGCUUGCCUACCAAACUGUUGAACUAGAGUACUGGAAAGGUGGGUGGAACUACACGAGUAGAGGUGAAAUUCGUAGAUAUGUGUAAGAAUGCCGAUGAUGAAGAUAACUCACUGGACAGAAACUGACGCUGAAGUGCGAACGCUAGGGGAGCAAACAGG
This 407-nucleotide ribosomal RNA is filed under the name Verrucomicrobiota bacterium. Its description in RNAcentral is "Verrucomicrobia bacterium partial 16S ribosomal RNA". It matches the Rfam family "Bacterial small subunit ribosomal RNA", at positions 355 to 776 of the family's 1533-position model. The record is from RNAcentral. Lineage: Bacteria; Pseudomonadati; Verrucomicrobiota.